UGCACAGGGAGCUUGCUCUUCGAUUCAGCGGCGGACGGGUGAGUAAUGCCUAGGAAUCUGCCUGGUAGUGGGGGACAACGUUUCGAAAGGAACGCUAAUACCGCANACGUCCUACGGGAGAAAGCAGGGGACCUUCGGGCCUUGCGCUAUCAGAUGAGCCUAGGUCGGAUUAGCUAGUUGGUGAGGUAAUGGCUCACCAAGGCGACGAUCCGUAACUGGUCUGAGAGGAUGAUCAGUCACACUGGAACUGAGACACGGUCCAGACUCCUACGGGAGGCAGCAGUGGGGAAUAUUGGACAAUGGGCGAAAGCCUGAUCCAGCCAUGCCGCGUGUGUGAAGAAGGUCUUCGGAUUGUAAAGCACUUUAAGUUGGGAGGAAGGGCAGUAAGCGAAUACCUUGCUGUUUUGACGUUACCGACAGAAUAAGCACCGGCUAACUCUGUGCCAGCAGCCGCGGUAAUACAGAGGGUGCAAGCGUUAAUCGGAAUUACUGGGCGUAAAGCGCGCGUAGGUGGUUUGUUAAGUUGGAUGUGAAAGCCCCGGGCUCAACCUGGGAACUGCAUCCNAAACUGGCAAGCUAGAGUACGGUAGAGGGUGGUGGAAUUUCCUGUGUAGCGGUGAAAUGCGUANAUAUAGGAAGGAACACCAGUGGCGANNCGACCACCUGGACUGAUACUGACACUGAGGUGCGAAAGCGUGGGGAGCAGACAGGAUUAGAUACCCUGNUAGUCCACGCCCUUAACNAUGUCAACUANCCNNUNGAAUCCUUGACAUUUUAUUGNCGCANCUAACGCAUUAACUUGAUGGCCUGGNNAGUACGGCCGCAGGGUUAAACUCAGAUGAAUUGAC
RNAcentral lists this ribosomal RNA (848 nucleotides) under Pseudomonas putida. RNAcentral describes it as "bacterial SSU rRNA". It matches the Rfam family "Bacterial small subunit ribosomal RNA", at positions 68 to 914 of the family's 1533-position model. Lineage: Bacteria; Pseudomonadati; Pseudomonadota; Gammaproteobacteria; Pseudomonadales; Pseudomonadaceae. The record is from RNAcentral.